CAGUCGCCGCGGGAAUACGGAGGGUGCAAGCGUUAAUCGGAAUUACUGGGCGUAAAGCGCACGCAGGCGGUUUGUUAAGUCAGAUGUGAAAUCCCCGAGCUUAACUUGGGAACUGCAUCUGAAACUGGCAAGCUAGAGUCUUGUAGAGGGGGGUAGAAUUCCAGGUGUAGCGGUGAAAUGCGUAGAGAUCUGGAGGAAUACCGGUGGCGAAGGCGGCCCCCUGGACAAAGACUGACGCUCAGGUGCGAAAGCGUGGGGAGCAAACAGGAUUAGAUACCCCAGUAGUCCCUGUCUCUUAUAC
Molecule: ribosomal RNA, 301 nt
Filed under: uncultured bacterium
Lineage: Bacteria
Description: partial 16S ribosomal RNA
Rfam family: Bacterial small subunit ribosomal RNA
Source: RNAcentral